AUUGAACGCUGGCGGCAGGCCUAACACAUGCAAGUCGAACGGUAUCAGGAAGAAGCUUGCUUCUUUGCUGACGAGUGGCGGACGGGUGAGUAAUGUCUGGGAAACUGCCUGAUGGAGGGGGAUAACUACUGGAAACGGUAGCUAAUACCGCAUAACGUCGCAAGACCAAAGAGGGGGACCUUCGGGCCUCUUGCCAUCGGAUGUGCCCAGAUGGGAUUAGCUAGUAGGUGGGGUAACGGCUCACCUAGGCGACGAUCCCUAGCUGGUCUGAGAGGAUGACCAGCCACACUGGAACUGAGACACGGUCCAG
RNAcentral lists this ribosomal RNA (310 nucleotides) under uncultured Escherichia sp. RNAcentral's name for it is "bacterial SSU rRNA". It matches the Rfam family "Bacterial small subunit ribosomal RNA", at positions 30 to 334 of the family's 1533-position model. Lineage: Bacteria; Pseudomonadati; Pseudomonadota; Gammaproteobacteria; Enterobacterales; Enterobacteriaceae. The record is from RNAcentral.